UCAAAAGCCAAAAAAGGCUGCUUGUUUUGACCAGUCAUACAGUGAUCUCACUGCCCCUCAGAUGUCGUGGGAUGUGUCUUUGAUUAAAGCAGAAAAUGGCUCCAUACCCUGCAUGGAGUCCAGUGCUCUGGAGUCAACAUGGAGUCCAAAACCCCAAUCCACACAACAUUCACCAGCAGAAGUUUCUCCCUGACAUGGCCUAGAAUGUCCCUCGAAACACAACCUUAACAUAGAGAAAAUUCAGCGUUUUGAAAGGAAGUGUAAGUGUAAGGUUUUCAGCCGUGCGUGAUUAUGUCUGCACAGAUGAAUCCGUUAAAAAAAUGAAAGUGGAUUUUAAACACUGGAUGUACAUGUGAAGGAUGCAUGUGUGAAGAUUCCUGCAGAGAGCUCUACGCUUUUAACAAAGUUUGCUUAAAUAUUUAAAUAAAAGUAUCUGACUAUU
Epinephelus fuscoguttatus (brown-marbled grouper) is the source of this 442-nucleotide long non-coding RNA. RefSeq lists it as uncharacterized. Lineage: Eukaryota; Metazoa; Chordata; Actinopteri; Perciformes; Serranidae. The transcript is spliced from 2 exons. The record is from RefSeq and is a predicted model, not a curated record.